CCUACGGGAGGCAGCAGUGAGGAAUAUUGGUCAAUGGGCGAGAGCCUGAACCAGCCAAGUCGCGUGAGGGAGUACUGCCCUAUGGGUUGUAAACCUCUUUUGUCGGGGAGCAAAAGCCGGACGUGUCCGGCUGUGAGGGUACCCGGAGAAAAAGCAACGGCUAACUCCGUUCCAGCCGCCGCGGUAAUACGGAGGAUGCGAGCGUUAUCCGGAUUUAUUGGGGUUAAAGGGUGCGCAGGCGGAUUUUUAAGUCAGCGGUAAAAUCGAGGGGCUCAACCCCCUCCAGCCGUUGAAACUGGGGAUCUAGAGUGGGCGAGAGGUAUGCGGAAUGCGUGGUGUAGCGGUGAAAUGCAUAGAUAUCACGCAGAACCCCGAUUGCGAAGGCAGCAUACCGGUGCACAACUGACGCUCAGGCACGAAAGCGUGGGUAUCGAACAGGAUUAGAUACCCUAGUAGUC
Molecule: ribosomal RNA, 458 nt
Filed under: uncultured bacterium
Lineage: Bacteria
Description: partial 16S ribosomal RNA
Rfam family: Bacterial small subunit ribosomal RNA
Source: RNAcentral